UAGUCAUAUGCUUGUCUUAAAGAUUAAGCCAUGCAUGUCUAAGUAUAAGCAUUUAUACUGCGAAACUGCGAAUGGCUCAUUAAAUCAGUUAUAGUUCAUUUGAUAAUACCUAAAACUACUUGGAUAACCGUAGUAAUUCUAGAGCUAAUACAUGCGAAAAACCCCGACUCUUUGGAAGGGGUGCAUUUGUUAGAUACAAAACCAAUGCGGCGGGGCAACUCGUCGGAACCUUGGUGAUUCAUGACAACUUUGCGAAUCGCAUAGCCUCUGUGCUGGCG
Molecule: ribosomal RNA, 278 nt
Filed under: uncultured eukaryote
Lineage: Eukaryota
Description: partial 18S ribosomal RNA
Rfam family: Eukaryotic small subunit ribosomal RNA
Source: RNAcentral